This 900-nucleotide ribosomal RNA is filed under the name Drechslera ellisii. RNAcentral describes it as "LSU rRNA". It matches the Rfam family "Eukaryotic large subunit ribosomal RNA", at positions 44 to 962 of the family's 3401-position model. The record is from RNAcentral. Lineage: Eukaryota; Fungi; Ascomycota; Dothideomycetes; Pleosporales; Pleosporaceae.
UCAUGAGCGGAGGAAAAGAAACCAACAGGGAUUGCCCUAGUAACGGCGAGUGAAGCGGCAACAGCUCAAAUUUGAAAUCUGGCUCUUUUAGAGUCCGAGUUGUAAUUUGCAGAGGGCGCUUUGGCUUUGGCAGCGGUCCAAGUUCCUUGGAACAGGACGUCACAGAGGGUGAGAAUCCCGUACGUGGUCGCUAGCUAUUGCCGUGUAAAGCCCCUUCGACGAGUCGAGUUGUUUGGGAAUGCAGCUCUAAAUGGGAGGUAAAUUUCUUCUAAAGCUAAAUAUUGGCCAGAGACCGAUAGCGCACAAGUAGAGUGAUCGAAAGAUGAAAAGCACUUUGGAAAGAGAGUCAAACAGCACGUGAAAUUGUUGAAAGGGAAGCGCUUGCAGCCAGACUUGCUUGCAGUUGCUCAUCCGGGCUUUUGCCCGGUGCACUCUUCUGCAGGCAGGCCAGCAUCAGUUUGGGCGGUGGGAUAAAGGUCUCUGACACGUUCCUUCCUUCGGGUUGGCCAUAUAGGGGAGACGUCAUACCACCAGCCUGGACUGAGGUCCGCGCAUCUGCUAGGAUGCUGGCGUAAUGGCUGUAAGCGGCCCGUCUUGAAACACGGACCAAGGAGUCUAACAUCUAUGCGAGUGUUUGGGUGUCAAGCCCGAGCGCGUAAUGAAAGUGAACGGAGGUGGGAACCCGCAAGGGUGCACCAUCGACCGAUCCUGAAGUUUACGGAAGGAUUUGAGUAAGAGCAUGGCUGUUGGGACCCGAAAGAUGGUGAACUAUGCUUGAAUAGGGUGAAGCCAGAGGAAACUCUGGUGGAGGCUCGCAGCGGUUCUGACGUGCAAAUCGAUCGUCAAAUUUGGGCAUAGGGGCGAAAGACUAAUCGAACUAUCUAGUAGCUGGUUCCUGCC